AUGCCUUCAUUCACUUUUUCUUGGCCUGAUAAGAUCUCCACAAGUCUGUCUCGAGUUAUUCUUGCUCUCCACCCCAAGUUUCCCCCUGCUUCCAAAACCAAAUUAUGCCAAACAAUAAACAUGCUUCAAAACUUGAAACCUUCAUGCUGCCACCUGCUACACGCUAGUCGUGCCCUGUACUAUGAACAACAGAAAGCUGCAACAGAAAAUGUAAAUAGAAACAUCCAUCAGCCCUGCACAUAA
Molecule: non-coding RNA, 243 nt
Organism: Vicia faba (fava bean)
Lineage: Eukaryota; Viridiplantae; Streptophyta; Magnoliopsida; Fabales; Fabaceae
Source: the annotation of a GenBank genome assembly